GGGGAAUUAGCUCAGUGGUAGAGCACUUGCCUAGCAAGCACAAGGUCCUGGGUUUGGUCCCCAGCUCCG
This 69-nucleotide transfer RNA is filed under the name Rattus norvegicus (Norway rat). It matches the Rfam family "tRNA". From Rfam's summary of the family: Transfer RNA (tRNA) molecules are approximately 80 nucleotides in length. Their secondary structure includes four short double-helical elements and three loops (D, anti-codon, and T loops). Further hydrogen bonds mediate the characteristic L-shaped molecular structure. tRNAs have two regions of fundamental functional importance: the anti-codon, which is responsible for specific mRNA codon recognition, and the 3' end, to which the tRNAs corresponding amino acid is attached (by aminoacyl-tRNA synthetases). tRNAs cope with the degeneracy of the genetic code in two manners: having more than one tRNA (with a specific anti-codon) for a particular amino acid; and 'wobble' base-pairing, i.e. permitting non-standard base-pairing at the 3rd anti-codon position. Lineage: Eukaryota; Metazoa; Chordata; Mammalia; Rodentia; Muridae. The record is from Rfam by way of RNAcentral.